RNAcentral lists this microRNA precursor (63 nucleotides) under Ornithorhynchus anatinus (platypus). RNAcentral's name for it is "Oan-Mir-221-P2a_pre stem-loop". It matches the Rfam family "mir-221 microRNA precursor family", at positions 11 to 73 of the family's 84-position model. Lineage: Eukaryota; Metazoa; Chordata; Mammalia; Monotremata; Ornithorhynchidae. The record is from RNAcentral.
ACCUGGCAUACAAUGUAGAAUUCUGUAUUUGUUAAGCAACAGCUACAUUGUCUGCUGGGUUUC